GACGAACGCUGGCGGCGUGCUUAACACAUGCAAGUCGAACGGAAAGGCCCUGCUUGCAGGGUGCUCGAGUGGCGAACGGGUGAGUAACACGUGGGUGAUCUGCCCCUUACUUUGGGAUAAGCCUGGGAAACUGGGUCUAAUACUGGAUAGGACCAUGCUGUAGGUGGUGUGGUGGAAAGAUUAGUUUCGGUAAGGGAUGAGCUCGCGGCCUAUCAGCUUGUUGGUGGGGUAAUGGCCUACCAAGGCGUCGACGGGUAGCCGGCCUGAGAGGGUGGACGGCCACAUUGGGACUGAGAUACGGCCCAGACUCCUACGGGAGGCAGCAGUGGGGAAUAGUGCACAAUGGGCGCAAGCCUGAUGCAGCGACGCCGCGUGGGGGAUGACGGCCUUCGAGUUGUAAACUCCUUUCAGCCAUGACGAAGCCCUUGUGGUGACGGUAGUGGUAGAAGGAGCACCGGCUAACUACGUG
This 469-nucleotide ribosomal RNA is filed under the name uncultured bacterium. RNAcentral describes it as "partial 16S ribosomal RNA". It matches the Rfam family "Bacterial small subunit ribosomal RNA", at positions 28 to 507 of the family's 1533-position model. The record is from RNAcentral.